GAAUCUUAUAGUUUAUAAAAAACGUUGAAUUGCAAAUUCAAAGAAGGGGGUGUUACCCUAAGGUG
Molecule: transfer RNA, 65 nt
Filed under: Lutraria rhynchaena
Lineage: Eukaryota; Metazoa; Mollusca; Bivalvia; Venerida; Mactridae
Description: tRNA-Cys
Source: RNAcentral